UCUUCCCUGGGUUUUGAAUUUGCAGUUACAGGUGUGAACAUUCUAGCAGCAGUUUGAUGAUCAUGUAUGAUACUGCAAACAGGCUCUUCCCUGA
RNAcentral lists this microRNA precursor (94 nucleotides) under Chinchilla lanigera (long-tailed chinchilla). Its description in RNAcentral is "miRNA (ENSCLAG00000021080.1)". The stretch from base 1 to 84 matches the Rfam family "Small Cajal body specific RNA 16", at positions 104 to 187 of the family's 187-position model. From Rfam's summary of the family: scaRNAs are a specific class of small nuclear RNAs which localise to the Cajal bodies and guide the modification of RNA polymerase II transcribed spliceosomal RNAs U1, U2, U4, U5 and U12. ACA47 belongs to the H/ACA box class of guide RNAs as it has the predicted hairpin-hinge-hairpin-tail structure, the conserved H/ACA-box motifs and is found associated with GAR1. ACA47 is predicted to guide the pseudouridylation of residue U5 of the U1 spliceosomal snRNA. The record is from RNAcentral. Lineage: Eukaryota; Metazoa; Chordata; Mammalia; Rodentia; Chinchillidae.